GGGCUACCAAGCACAUUUACUAAAAUUGGAACUACACAGAGAAAAGAUUAGCAUGGCCCUUGAGCAACAAUGACUUGCAGAUCUGCAAAGUGUUCCAUAUUUUU
Mesocricetus auratus (golden hamster) is the source of this 104-nucleotide small nuclear RNA. The record is from Ensembl. NCBI's taxonomy places the organism in Eukaryota, Metazoa, Chordata, Mammalia, Rodentia, Cricetidae.